This 229-nucleotide long non-coding RNA is filed under the name Linum usitatissimum (flax). RNAcentral's name for it is "long non-coding RNA (LUSI_LNC006785)". The record is from RNAcentral. Lineage: Eukaryota; Viridiplantae; Streptophyta; Magnoliopsida; Malpighiales; Linaceae.
GCAUAUCUAGAUUUUGGGGGCAUGUGAACUCCUCAAAGACUAUUUUGGCUUCCACAGCUGACAGUCCAGCCGUUGUUGGCUUCAUGAGCUACUAGUUCAUGGAUUUGGUUGAGUGAUUAACAAAUAACAAUGCCUUAUUUUACUUCUUUGUGUCAGGAAUCUUAAACCCUUGGCUAACCGGACUACUAUCUUGGGAUUGGGACAGAACAGCUGAGCCGGUAAGCCUACA